GCUUCCAUAGCUCAGUCGGUAGAGUACUUCCAUGGUAAGGAAGAGGUCACCGGUUCAAUCCCGGUUGGGAGCU
This 73-nucleotide transfer RNA is filed under the name Priestia taiwanensis. It matches the Rfam family "tRNA". Rfam says of the family: Transfer RNA (tRNA) molecules are approximately 80 nucleotides in length. Their secondary structure includes four short double-helical elements and three loops (D, anti-codon, and T loops). Lineage: Bacteria; Bacillati; Bacillota; Bacilli; Caryophanales; Bacillaceae. The record is from Rfam by way of RNAcentral.